UGAUGGCGACCGGCGCACGGGUGAGUAACACGUAUCCAACCUGCCGAUGACUCGGGGAUAGCCUUUCGAAAGAAAGAUUAAUACCCGAUGGCAUAGUUCUUCCGCAUGGUGGAACUAUUAAAGAAUUUCGGUCAUCGAUGGGGAUGCGUUCCGUUAGGUUGUUGGCGGGGUAACGGCCCACCAGGCCUUCGAUGGAUAGGGGUUCUGAGAGGAAGGUCCCCCACAUUGGAACUGAGACACGGUCCAAACUCCUACGGGAGGCAGCAUG
RNAcentral lists this ribosomal RNA (268 nucleotides) under uncultured bacterium. RNAcentral describes it as "partial 16S ribosomal RNA". It matches the Rfam family "Bacterial small subunit ribosomal RNA", at positions 86 to 353 of the family's 1533-position model. The record is from RNAcentral.